AAUAAGGACAGUUUUACAUUAUUCGCGUUCAACGUUUGACUGGUCGUCUUAUUAGAAACUUUUUUAUGAUUAGUAUUUUUAUUACUAUUAGAUGAUAAAAUAUGAAUAGUACUUUAUGUGUGACUAAUUUUUUUAUAAAAUUUUUAAAUAAGACGGACGGUCAAACGUUGGACACGGAUAUCCACGACUGCACUUGUU
This is a non-coding RNA of Oryza glumipatula, 198 nucleotides long. NCBI's taxonomy places the organism in Eukaryota, Viridiplantae, Streptophyta, Magnoliopsida, Poales, Poaceae. The record is from Rfam.